Molecule: ribosomal RNA, 2704 nt
Filed under: Fusarium proliferatum ET1
Lineage: Eukaryota; Fungi; Ascomycota; Sordariomycetes; Hypocreales; Nectriaceae
Description: bacterial LSU rRNA
Rfam family: Bacterial large subunit ribosomal RNA
Source: RNAcentral
CCAAUGCUUCUAAUUUCAUAGCAAGCUCGCUUGCUAUGAAAUAGGCAACCAGUAAUAUAAGCAAGUGUGUGCUAUUUAUAGCGCUAGCCUACAAACCUAUAAUUAUAUUAACUCUAAGAGAAAUUUAAUAAUAAACGAAGUGAAUUGAAAUAUCUUAGUAACUUUAGGAAAAGAAAUCAAAAGAGAUUCUAUGAUUAGCGUGAGCUAAAAUAGACUAGCCUAAAAAGUCAAAUGGUGGAUAAACUGUUUAAAUUAAAUGGGGAACCUUCCUCAAAGGCUAAAUAUAAUAUAUAAGCGAUAGUGGAAAGUACCGUGAGGGAACCAAAACAAAAACAGUGAUUUUAUAAGCAGUUCGGAAAAAUAAAAAAAAAAGUUAGAACGUACCUUUUGCAUAAUGGGUCACCAAGUUAACAUUAGAUGCGAGUAGGAGGGAGCAGCCCCGUGCAUACGUAGUUAAACCGAGCGUUAAAAUAACGGUAAGUAUCUAAAGUUAGACCCGAAGCCUGGUGAUUUUACCAUAAUCAGGAUUAUAAAAGUCCGAACGGAAUAUUGUAGCAUAAAUAUCCGAAGAAUUAUGGUAGGUGUAGUGAAAGACAAUACUGACCAGGAUAGCUGGUUUUCUGCGAAACCUAUAACAGUAGGCAAUUUAAGUAUAAUAUCUUAGCAGGUACAGAAUUUAAUCUCAGACAAGACAUAAGGCUUAGCUUGUUAGCAAGUAAAGCUCAUGUUUUAUUUUGUACAAAUUGGGGGAUCAUGAAGAUUUUAUCAGUGAGUAUGUAGACUCGGAAUGGCAAAGAUAUAUCUUAAAUCAUCAGACAUAGAAUGAUAAGGUUGUAUGUCAAAAGGGAAACAGCCCAGAACAAGAGUUAAGGUUCCUAAAUUAUUAGUUGAGUGAAAUUAAGAAGGUUUUUAUUAAAGUCGACAAGGAGAUAGGCUUAGAAGCAGCCAUAAUUUUAUGACCUCGUAACAGAGCGCUUGUUAAGUUUUAAAAGCAUCGAAAAUUUAUCGGAUCUAAACAAUAUACCGAAACCUUGUCCAUAUUAUUUUAUAAUUAAAGCUUAAUUAUAAUUAAAUGGGGUAGCAGAACGUUGAGCUAAAUUAAGAUUUUUAUUUUUUAAAUGAAAUUAUAAUAAUUUAACUCAAGUGAUAAUGGUGACAUGAGUAACUAAAAGAAAAAAUAAAAUUUUUCCGCCUAAAGCUUAUGGAUGUAAUUAAGUAACGGCCUCUAAGUUUAUAUUAUCUAAAGAUUUAAACGAUGAGAUAAUCUUUUGUACUAAGGACGACAUUUUAAGUGAAAAAUGUACUGGAAAAAUAGUACUAAAUUAAUGGCUAUAGCUAAUUAGGGCUAUAAAAAAAAAUUUAUUUUUUUUUUAUAAAGCUCGCUAUAGCUAUAAAUGAAAAGUAACCGUACCUAGAAUCUGAAACAAGUAAGCUAGUAGAGAAUACGAAGGCGUAAAUGAGCUAACAAUCAUAAAGGAACUCGGCAAAUUGACUACCGUAACUUCGGGAUAAGGAGAGCUCAUUAUUCUUGAUUAAUAUCAGGUAAAGAGGAAGAAGCAUGAAAUAGUGUUGUACGACUGUUUAAUUAAAACACAGCACUUUGCUGAAAGAUUAAAAAUCUAAGUAUAGAGUGUGAUGUCUGCCCGGUGCCGGCUGGUUAACAGAUAUAAUUAAAUAUACUAAUAUUUGAUGUAGACGGAAACCCCGGUUAAAGGCGGCCUUAACGUGAGGGUCCUAAGGUAGCGAAAUGCCUUGGCCGUUAAAUGCGGUCUUGCAUGAAUGAUGUAACGAUACAACAGCUGUCUCUAUGAUUGACUCAGUGAAAUUGGAAUAGCUGUGCAGAUACAGUUUACCUCUAGUUAGACGAGAAGACCCUAUGCAGCUUUACUGUCACUAAUUAUAGAGUAUGAUAAACAAUUUUCAGAUUAUAAGGUAAUUGACGGCUAGCUUGUUCAGCAAGCUAGCUCUAUGACAAUGAGAAUCCUUUAUUUUUUUUUCAUAUGAAUGAAUUGGUUUAGGAUUAUGAGUAGGUAGCUGCUUCUGCUACUUGGCGCAAGCAUUGCUUGCGUCAAGUGUCUGAAGUAUGCAUUCCAGCUCAUGCAUAGUAAAUCAACCUAAUUCAGCUUAUUUUCCUUUCUGCCAUAAGCGCAUAAUGAUAGAUUUAACUUAAAUUUUGAUUUAUGCCGAGCCCCUCCGGGGCUACUGCAGAAAUAGAUAAGUACCCUUGGCUAAGGAACUAUCGCUAGGGGACAGUUUAUGUGGGGCACAGACCCUGUAAAGAGUAAACAGGAGUGUCUAAUAAUUUAUAAUUAUUUUGUUUGCGAUUUAAGAUAGUGAAACUAUUUUUAAUCAUAUAAAAUUAUUUAUAUGUACAUUCGUUGUAUAUAUAUUUAAAAAAAGGUAGGAUUUUCACUAUAUAGAAAUUAGAGAUAAUAAAAAUAUUAAGAAUAUACCUUUCAGGUAACACUAAUAUUUUUUAGCUAUUAAGACAGGCUAUCAAGCUAGGCUCUAAUAGUUAUGUAUUAAUUAUCUAAAAAGCUCAACGGCUAAAUCUUGCCUUACUGUUUGAUUAUCAACAAAUCUUACAGUUGCGUAAGCAGGGCAUAGGAUCACAAGAUGCAACAAGGAAAGAUCUUGGAUUAUUGGAAAAGCUACGCUAGGGAUGUUUGUCCUUUAAUAUUUUAUUACACAGCGGCUUUAGUUA